Panthera uncia (snow leopard) is the source of this 694-nucleotide long non-coding RNA. RefSeq lists it as uncharacterized. The transcript has 4 exons. Lineage: Eukaryota; Metazoa; Chordata; Mammalia; Carnivora; Felidae. The record is from RefSeq and is a predicted model, not a curated record.
CCGGGGAAGACGAGGCCAGCCCACUUCGGCUCCGAUCACCACCGAAAAGGGAAACUGACACAGACCCCGAAACAAGGAUAGUGCCAGGAUCCUUAACCAGAUGUGGAGUCGGCAGGCAGUAGUGGAAACACCACGAGCUGGAGCCAAAGUGAUCUGCGCUUGAACCCUGGGUCUUCCUCCACUUACUCUGCAACUUGGGGCAAGUCACUGUGAACUCAAAACAGAAGUAGGUAGCACACAUGAACAGAAUUCGUGUGAGGAUUAAACGAGACGGUGCAUGUAACUUACAUGCCACCACUUGUGGCAUUUAACGAAUCUGAAGAUCAGGCUUCUCUCCCUAGAAGAGAAAACUUCUGUACAAACGAGAUGAUUUUGCAUACGAUAUUAAAAGUUGUUUACCGAUCCUCAGAAGUGAGUCGAUACACCCACUACGGGUAGUGAUUUCCUCAGGCUGAGAAGUGCUGAUGUAGGAACUCUCAUUGACUUAUCUUUCUGAAGUAUCAUUCUGACUGACAUCUUUUUGAAGAAGGCAAUGAAGCUGGAUAAUCUCCCACCUACUUAAUGGUUCCUUCUCAGAUUCUAGCAUUUUAAGGCUCGGUCAAGAAUGCUCCAAGGACAACUGCUUUUAUAGGAACUUGUGGAAAGAAAAGCUGAUGUGUUUUUGCACUACAAUGAAAUCUGUAGGUUAUUUCUC